GACGAACGCUGGCGGCGUGCUUAACACAUGCAAGUCGAACGAUGAAGCCGGAGCUUGCUCCGGUGGAUUAGUGGCGAACGGGUGAGUAACACGUGAGCAAUCUGCCCUUGACUCUGGGAUAACUGAGGGAAACUGUAGCUAAUACCGGAUACGACACCUUGGGGCAUCCCAGGGUGUGGAAAGAAUUUCGGUACAGGAUGAGCUCGCGGCAUAUCAGCUAGUUGGUGGGGUAAUAGCUCACCAAGGCGACGACGGGUAGCCGGCCUGAGAGGGUGACCGGCCACACUGGAACUGAGACACGGUCCAGACUCCUACGGGAGGCAGCAGUGGGGAAUAUUGCACAAUGGGCGAAAGCCUGAUGCAGCAACGCCGCGUGAGGGAUGAAGGCCUUCGGGUUGUAAACCUCUUUUAGCAGGGAAGAAGCGAAAGUGACGGUACCUGCAGAAAAAGCACCGGCUAACUACGUGCCAGCAGCCGCCGUAA
RNAcentral lists this ribosomal RNA (483 nucleotides) under uncultured bacterium. RNAcentral describes it as "partial 16S ribosomal RNA". It matches the Rfam family "Bacterial small subunit ribosomal RNA", at positions 28 to 523 of the family's 1533-position model. The record is from RNAcentral.